ACCGGCGAUACCCGAAUGGGGAAACCCAGUGUGACUCGUCACACUAUCAUUAACUGAAUCCAUAGGUUAAUGAGGCGAACCGGGGGAACUGAAACAUCUAAGUACCCCGAGGAAAAGAAAUCAACCGAGAUUCCCCCAGUAGCGGCGAGCGAACGGGGAGGAGCCCAGAGCCUGAAUCAGCAUGUGUGUUAGUGGAAGCGUCUGGAAAGGCGCGCGAUACAGGGUGACAGCCCCGUACACAAAAGCGCAUGUGCUGUGAGCUCGAUGAGUAGGGCGGGACACGUGGUAUCCUGUCUGAAUAUGGGGGGACCAUCCUCCAAGGCUAAAUACUCCUGACUGACCGAUAGUGAACCAGUACCGUGAGGGAAAGGCGAAAAGAACCCCGGCGAGGGGAGUGAAAAAGAACCUGAAACCGUGUACGUACAAGCAGUGGGAGCCCCACCACCAAAGCAUUUGCUGUACCGCGUUGACGGAGCGAAGCGACGUCAAACCGAUAAAACAGCAGUGUAAAGUGAGCCGCAGGGCGCUUUG
This 531-nucleotide ribosomal RNA is filed under the name Salmonella enterica subsp. enterica serovar Enteritidis. Its description in RNAcentral is "partial 23S ribosomal RNA". The stretch from base 1 to 422 matches the Rfam family "Bacterial large subunit ribosomal RNA", at positions 103 to 565 of the family's 2925-position model. The record is from RNAcentral. Lineage: Bacteria; Pseudomonadati; Pseudomonadota; Gammaproteobacteria; Enterobacterales; Enterobacteriaceae.